This 117-nucleotide non-coding RNA is filed under the name Nomascus leucogenys (northern white-cheeked gibbon). Lineage: Eukaryota; Metazoa; Chordata; Mammalia; Primates; Hylobatidae. The record is from Rfam by way of RNAcentral.
GCCGGGCAUGGUGGCUCAUGCUUGUAAUCCUAGCACUUUGGGAGGCUGAGGUGGGUGGAUUGCUUGAGGCCAGGAGUUCAAGACCAGCCUGGCCAACAUAGCAAAACCCCGUCUCUA